GAAGUUAAUUUGAAAAUAGCCUAGUGAAGCAAACAUAAAUCAGAUCAAUUCUUUUAAAAAGUAAAAGUAUUAGCAAUUAUUCCGGACCGUCUACAAAUGAAACCCGACAGACCACCUGAGGGUGCUGGAUUUAUCGAUUGGAAACUUCUGAAUCAAGCGUGUUUGAAACAUCAUAUUAACAAAGGGACAGUGUUUGAUCCGCUAAACAAAUGCGUCCUUUGUGGAAAGAAACACAUAAACAUUAUGCUAGAUCCUGGUCGCCACAACAAACUGUAUAAUUUGUAGCUGCGCACAUUUCUGCGGUCCUCGAUGCGCGUGAACUGACAGAGACGCUUGAUUAUGAAAUCAUCAGUGAAGCCCCGUUGUUUCACACUGAGAGGAUGCAGGACUGGUCUGUGUAACAGGAUUUCUUCAAGCCUUUCGGGUGCUUGCAUUUUCUGAAGUCCCAGUCCAUUAUCAGAGUAAAGGAAACCUGUCAACACAGAGUCUCAGGAGGCUUCUCGGAUGUUGAUAGAUUAUAAUGGGACUCCUGGUACAAAACAUACCAGAAUAGGAAUGAACCAGAUGGCUUGAGAAUCUGUUGAAAUGGAAACUCUGAGAACAGAGAGGAGCAUCAAGAAGAGGAGAUCAACUAACAGUAAAGUGAACUGCACUUUCUAAAAGAUCUGACUGAACUUUUCUCACUGGGCAGAGGUUUUUUAAUGGUAUGAAACAUUUCUGAGGGUAAGACUAUCGAACAUGCCAUUGUUCUUGGUUUUUUUUGCGUAACUAUUAACAGCAGAGACUGGUGCACAUCAUCAUAGUUCGGGCUGGAUUAUUUAUUUUUUUAUCUGCAGUGUUGUGCCAUUGAUAUUGUUUAUGUUGUUUGUGGUUCCCAAAGUAUGUUGUAUUCUACUUUGAAGUGACUUAAGACUUACUUUCAACUAGUAUAUUUAUAUGCAUUUACAUGUAAUAUGUAUUUUUAUUUAUUUAUUUAUGUAAUUGUAUGUACUUGGGUUUCUCUGCUUUGUUCUUAUUUUAUUGCUGACUUACUUUUAAAGUGCUUGAAACACUAUCAACAAUAUUUAUUAAAUCAAUAUUAUCUUUUUUUGCUGUAUUUACCAAAACAGGUAAUGAGGAAUGUUGAGUUCCACCUUAACUGUAUUGUGACCAUUGUAUUUCAAGGGUUAGGUGUAUGUUUCAUGGCUAGAGUAAGCUGCAAAGUGGAUCCAUAGUUGAACGUCUAACAUAAUAUGCUCUUCUGUUGCUUUUUCCACUGACAUUUUCUGUGAAACAUGUUCUGUCUCUUCAUUCUCUGUGAGAUGUUUGCUUAUGCACAUCCACUUCUGACAAGAUUAAUGAUAUUCUGCCUUAUUCUUCUGAUAAAUUUGUGUAAGAUAUCAUCUUAAAUGUA
This is a long non-coding RNA of Onychostoma macrolepis, 1393 nucleotides long. RefSeq lists it as uncharacterized. The transcript is spliced from 4 exons. The record is from RefSeq and is a predicted model, not a curated record. Lineage: Eukaryota; Metazoa; Chordata; Actinopteri; Cypriniformes; Cyprinidae.